UACGUAGGUGGCAAGCGUUGUCCGGAUUUAUUGGGUUUAAAGGGUGCGUAGGCGGCCUAUUAAGUCAGUGGUGAAAUCUUUCAGCUCAACUGGAAUUGUGCCAUUGAUACUGAUGGGCUUGAGUACAGAUGAGGUAGGCGGAAUUGACGGUGUAGCGGUGAAAUGCUUAGAUAUCGUCAAGAACACCUAUAGCGAAGGCAGCUUACUAGGCUGUAACUGACGCUGAGGCACGAAAGUGUGGGGAUCAAACAGG
RNAcentral lists this ribosomal RNA (253 nucleotides) under uncultured bacterium. RNAcentral describes it as "partial 16S ribosomal RNA". It matches the Rfam family "Bacterial small subunit ribosomal RNA", at positions 524 to 776 of the family's 1533-position model. The record is from RNAcentral.